UAGGGAAUCUUCCACAAUGGACGCAAGUCUGAUGGAGCAACGCCGCGUGAGUGAAGAAGGUCUUCGGAUCGUAAAGCUCUGUUGUUGGUGAAGAAGGAUAGAGGCAGUAACUGGUCUUUAUUUGACGGUAAUCAACCAGAAAGUCACGGCUAACUACGUGCCAGCAGCCGCGGUAAUACGUAGGUGGCAAGCGUUGUCCGGAUUUAUUGGGCGUAAAGCGAGCGCAGGCGGAAUGAUAAGUCUGAUGUGAAAGCCCACGGCUCAACCGUGGAACUGCAUUGGAAACUGUCAUUCUUGAGUGCAGAAGAGGAGAGUGGAACUCCAUGUGUAGCGGUGGAAUGCGUAGAUAUAUGGAAGAACACCAGUGGCGAAGGCGGCUCUCUGGUCUGCAACUGACGCUGAGGCUCGAAAGCAUGGGUAGCGAACAGGAUUAGAUACCCUGGUAGUCCAUGCCGUAAACGAUGAGCGCUAGGUGUUGGGGACUUUCCGGUCCUCAGUGCCGCAGCAAAACGCAUUAAGCGCUCCGCCUGGGGAGUACGA
RNAcentral lists this ribosomal RNA (540 nucleotides) under uncultured bacterium. RNAcentral's name for it is "partial 16S ribosomal RNA". It matches the Rfam family "Bacterial small subunit ribosomal RNA", at positions 355 to 885 of the family's 1533-position model. The record is from RNAcentral.